RNAcentral lists this ribosomal RNA (473 nucleotides) under uncultured bacterium. Its description in RNAcentral is "bacterial SSU rRNA". It matches the Rfam family "Bacterial small subunit ribosomal RNA", at positions 32 to 507 of the family's 1533-position model. The record is from RNAcentral.
AUUGAAACGCUGGCGGCAGGCUUAACACAUGCAAGUCGAGCGGAGACUUCGGUCUUAGCGGCGAACGGGUGAGUAAUACCUAGGAAUCUGCCUAUUAGUGGGGGAUAACGAAUCGAAAGGUUCGCUAAUACCGCAUACGUCCUACGGGANAAAGGGGGGGAUCUUCGGACCUCUCGCUAAUAGAUGAGCCUAGGCCGGAUUAGCUAGUUGGUAGGGUAAAGGCCUACCAAGGCGACGAUCUGUAGCUGGUCUGAGAGGAUGGCCAGCCACACUGGAACUGAGACACGGUCCAGACUCCUACGGGAGGCAGCAGUGGGGAAUAUUGGACAAUGGGGGCAACCCUGAUCCAGCCAUGCCGCGUGUGUGAAGAAGGCCUUCGGGUUGUAAAGCACUUUAAGCGAGGAGGAAGGUUUUUAGUUUAAUACACUAAAGAAUUGACGUUACUCGCAGAAUAAGCACCGGCUAACUCUGUG